UACAGAGGGUGCAAGCGUUAAUCGGAAUGACUGGGCGUAAAGGGUGCGUAGGUGGCGAUAUAAGUUAGUUGUGAAAUCCCCGGGCUUAACCUGGGAACUGCAAUUGAUACUGUAUGGCUAGAGUUUGGGAGAGGAUAGUGGAAUUUCCGGUGUAGCGGUGAAAUGCGUAGAUAUCGGAAGGAACACCAGUGGCGAAGGCGACUAUCUGGCCUAGAACUGACACUGAGGCACGAAAGCGUGGGUAGCGAAC
Molecule: ribosomal RNA, 250 nt
Filed under: uncultured bacterium
Lineage: Bacteria
Description: partial 16S ribosomal RNA
Rfam family: Bacterial small subunit ribosomal RNA
Source: RNAcentral